CCAGAGAAGUCACACUGAGGGUGAAAGACUGUAACAUGGAAGGAUAAAAGGGGUUAUCUUUAAUAACCCUAUCAGCCUGGUACCGUGACGCGGAUCCCAACAUAUCAGCUCGCUGACGAGAGGAGCGGACACGCUGAAACCCACCGGUGGUCUGAGUCAUGGACCUGUCUAAAGUCCCGGGAGGUAACUUCCUCGCUGGGCCAGCGUCGUAGGUUAACUCCUUUCGCCAACGAGGGAUUGACGGGAUCCGACCGGGAGAAAAGCACACCACAGCAAGAUCCACAAGCAGUGAGACCAGGAGACUGGGUGUUCAUCAAAAUCAUCAGAAGGAAGGACUGGGCGAGCCAAAGUUGGGAAGGACCAUUCCAAGUGCUCCUGACCAUGCCAACAGCUGUAAUGAUCGCUGAAAGACCUUCCUGGAUUCACCUCAGCCACUG
Molecule: long non-coding RNA, 437 nt
Organism: Fundulus heteroclitus (mummichog)
Lineage: Eukaryota; Metazoa; Chordata; Actinopteri; Cyprinodontiformes; Fundulidae
Exons: 3
Source: RefSeq, a predicted model, not a curated record